UUUAACAAAAACAUGUCCUUUUGUGUUUAAUUUAAGGUCGGGCCUGCCCCCUGAUGUAUGUUAAAGGGCCGCGGUAUUUUGACCGUGCAAAGGUAGCAUAAUCAUUAGUCUUUUCAUUGAAGGCUGGAAUGAAUGGUUUGACGAAACAUUAACUGUCUCUUUAUAAAAAAAUAUAAUUUAACUUUUAAGUUAAAAGGCUUAAAUAAUUAUAAAAGACGAGAAGACCCUAUAGAUCUUUAUAUAAGAAGUGAUUAUUAUAUUUAGGAGCAUUUUUAAUAAUUAUGGUAUUAUAUUUUGUUGGGGUGACAUGAAGAUAUAAAUAACUCUUUAUUUUUGGAACAUUGAUUUAUGAAUAAUUGAUCCACUAUUAGUGAUUAUAAGAUAAAGUUACCUUAGGGAUAACAGCGUAAUUUUUUUUGAGAGUUCUUAUCGACAAAAAAGAUUGCGACCUCGA
RNAcentral lists this ribosomal RNA (454 nucleotides) under Bucephaloptera bucephala. Its description in RNAcentral is "partial 16S ribosomal RNA". It matches the Rfam family "Bacterial large subunit ribosomal RNA", at positions 1803 to 2529 of the family's 2925-position model. The record is from RNAcentral. Lineage: Eukaryota; Metazoa; Arthropoda; Insecta; Orthoptera; Tettigoniidae.